CACACACCUGACCAGACGCCGCAUGAAGCAUCACGAUUAUCAGACUGUUGAUUUAUGAACGUUUCCAAAUCUGUCUCACCAUCUGACGAUCAGUUCUGAUGGAAGAAACUGCAGCCUUCCUGCUGGCUGCGUCUAGGAUCCGUCCUGUCUGAUGUGUCAGUGAGUAACGUGUUGGUGAUGAACCUGCAGAGAAUCACCAGAGACUCUGCAGCUCCUCUCGGCUUUACGGAGCUUUAUACAUGUUCCAACGAUGAGCUCAAUGAUAAAGCAGCUGGUUGGUGGAUCGUGUUUGGAUGGAGGACGGUGAGGAUUCAAUAAUCCAGAGCAGAUGAAUCACAAAGUGAAUGCAGGAUGACACAGUGAUCUCCCAGCAUGCACUGCUGCUCCUCCACUGGGUGUCCGUAUUCGAUCCGAGCAGCGGCAGCGGCUCAAUAAAACAUGCAGCGUGUUGAAGGAAGUCCAGCUGAGUGAGAUCUGAACAGAGAGGAGGGUUGAAUUCCCUGUUUGGCUCAGCAGCUACAGGAAGGAGCUGAGAACAUGCUACGCUAGCCCAAUGAACCCACUGACAAAGCUAACGUUAGCAUGACGCAACACUUUACAUCUAAUAGAAGAAAACAACAAACCAGAUUCCAGCUCAACAUCAGGAAGACAAAGGAGCCAGAAGAGGCCCCCAACUGCCUCCACCACUGCCAUGACUGAACCCAGUAUGACCCAGUAUACUUUAAGACCUUUAACUACUGAAUCCUGCAGGAACUCGUAGCUGCUGUACAGUCAGACAGUUUGUUUCCUGGGUCAUGAUGAUGAGAGCAGAUGUGAUGAAGAAUGAAGGUGAAGUUAACAUGAUGCUGCCUCACAUGAUGUCCUCCAAUGAACCGAGUUUAAUCUCCUCAAAUCACUUUAUUUAUGUACAGAGGCAACGUUUACAGUGAGGAGGAGGAAGAGGAGGAAGAGGAGGAGGCAUAGUCUCAGUCUCAGAGGAUGUUUCCACAUGAGGAGGAUUAAUCUGAUUGGUUAACAGGGUUCACUGUUUCCAGAGUGGAGAGUGUAAUUCAGCAGGAUGUAAACAGGGUCACCUCCCCUCUGCCUCCUCGUUCUUCUUCUUCUCUGUCAACAGGAAACAGGUUGAACACCUCUGUGUGUGUGUGUGUGUGUGUGUGUGUGUGUGUGUGUGUGUGUGUGUGUGUGUGUGUGAGGAUGACAUCAUGCUGUGUUGUGUAGUUUUGUUGGACGUCUCCUUCCUCUGCAUGAGGAAGAUGAGCUGAAGGUUAAAAUGUUUCCUGUUCGUCAUCAUUUAUUCACUGAAUCUGUUUAUUUGGUUACUUUCUGUGUGAUAUUUUGACUUGUUUCACAGAUAAACUGCAGGCUGCAGCUGUUUUCUUGCUCCUUUACGUCUGUUCAGUAAAGUACAGUCGGAUCCGGCUGCGUCUCGUCGUCUCCGUCUGUCUCUGAGGGUGAAACAAAGACUUGUAGCGAACCGUGUUUGACAAAUGAAGCUGUAAUUAUUGGAUUUGUUGGGUGAGUGUUGAACCCAAACAUCCUGUUCUCAACAGUCUGAUAUAAACAUGUGAGACGUUCCAGAGACUCUGUUUAUCUCACACUCAGCAAACUGCAGAGACAAUCUGAAGAGAAUCAUCCUGCUUCCCAGCAGCGAUCAGAUCCUCCUCUUCCUCAGUGACACAUCCAGGCUCAACAGGAAGUCCAGACGUGUCUGCUCG
Long non-coding RNA from Thunnus maccoyii (southern bluefin tuna), 1715 nucleotides. RefSeq lists it as uncharacterized. The transcript is spliced from 3 exons. The record is from RefSeq and is a predicted model, not a curated record. Lineage: Eukaryota; Metazoa; Chordata; Actinopteri; Scombriformes; Scombridae.